CAGCAGCCGCGGUAAUACGGAGGGGGCAAGCGUUAUCCGGAAUUAUUGGGCGUAAAGGGUACGUAGGUGGCCUUUUAAGCGUAGGGUAUAAGGCAAUGGCUCAACCAUUGUUCGCCCUAUGAACUGGAAGGCUUGAGUGCAGGAGAGGAAAGCGGAAUUCCUAGUGUAGCGGUGGAAUGCAUAGAUAUUAGGAGGAACAUCAGCGGCGAAGGCGGCUUUCUGGACUGCAACUGACACUGAGGUACGAAAGCGUGGGGAGCAAACAGGAUUAGAGACCCCAGUAGUCCCUGUCUCUUAUACC
Molecule: ribosomal RNA, 301 nt
Filed under: uncultured bacterium
Lineage: Bacteria
Description: partial 16S ribosomal RNA
Rfam family: Bacterial small subunit ribosomal RNA
Source: RNAcentral